GAUGAACGCUAGGGGCAUGCUUAACACAUGCAAGUCGAACGAUUCUUUUUUUUCGUAAGAAAAAAAAGAAGAGUGGCGGACGGGUGAGUAACGCGUAAGAACUUACCCCUAGGAGGGGAAUAACUGCUAGAAAUGGUAGCUAAUACCCCAUAAGCUGAGGAGUAAAAUGGAAUAUUCCGCCUAGGGAUAGGCUUGCGUCUGAUUAGCUAGUUGGUAAAGUAAUGGUUUACCAAGGCAACGAUCAGUAGCUGGUCUGAGAGGAUGAUCAGCCACACUG
RNAcentral lists this ribosomal RNA (277 nucleotides) under uncultured bacterium. RNAcentral describes it as "partial 16S ribosomal RNA". It matches the Rfam family "Bacterial small subunit ribosomal RNA", at positions 28 to 315 of the family's 1533-position model. The record is from RNAcentral.